This is a long non-coding RNA of Nothoprocta perdicaria, 303 nucleotides long. RefSeq lists it as uncharacterized. The transcript has 3 exons. NCBI's taxonomy places the organism in Eukaryota, Metazoa, Chordata, Aves, Tinamiformes, Tinamidae. The record is from RefSeq and is a predicted model, not a curated record.
AAGCAGAAGCUGGCUGAGGGCUGGGCUACCUACCAGGAAUUCAUCUUGGAGACGUGUCGGGCAAGACAAUUUAAAGCUCAAGAAAAUAGGAGCAUGGUCUUGGGAUCAUCUAUUUUGAGGGAAGAAUGUUUUGAUGGUGAUCGCAGAAGUAUCUACAACACAGAUUUUCAGCCCUUGCUUGGAGCCCAUGGUGGAUACUGYAAAGCAAAUAGCACUUUUUCACACAUUUUUACUGAAGAUGAGUGCUUUAACCAGAACUACUGGGUAUCAGAGUACGAGGACAACUACAGCAUUUUCUUGCAG